This is an RNA transcript of Myotis brandtii (Brandt's bat), 2023 nucleotides long. It is a transcript of the gene named splicing factor 3B subunit 1, with no coding region annotated. The record is from RefSeq and is a predicted model, not a curated record. Lineage: Eukaryota; Metazoa; Chordata; Mammalia; Chiroptera; Vespertilionidae. The transcript has 3 exons.
CUCCAAAGAUUGCUGACCGGGAAGAUGAAUACAAAAAGCACAGGCGGACCAUGAUAAUUUCCCCAGAGCGUCUUGAUCCUUUUGCAGAUGGUAGAAGGACAAGAAAAUAAUGAGCCAAUGCCAUAGAAACGCAAAGGGUUAAAGGUUUUUCUUUUACUUUUGUUUUGGGUACGCUUUCUAUACUUGGAACAAAUGUGUUUUUCUGGUCAAAAUACUUUCAAAUUCUUGAAAGUUUUCAUUCCAAAUCCUAGAUUUUAGGAUUGUUACUUUUGAGAAACUUUCUCACAUUAGAGCUCCCCUCAUAUUUCUCUAAAUAUAGUUUAGUAAGUGCACCUACUUUGCUUUAAGCAUACUUAAAAUUAAAACAAAAGUAUGUAUACAAAGGCUUUGAUAUUUUUAAUAGUUGGAGUCUGUUUUGCUAAUUUUAGUGUGCAGGUCAGCACAGGGGGCAUAGUGAGCCUGAUGGAAGCUUUCCUCGGGUGAGUUUCAAAAUCAAAAUUAGGUGCCUGUUUCUUAAAAUGAGAUUCUGCUGCAGGUUUACAAAUUAGACUUUCAGCCUGCAUGAAUUAGUAGGGAUAUUCUUUUUUUACUUGCAUAAUUGUAAUUGAUUUAAACAUGUAUGUCAGAAUUCACAGGCCCAUACUAACUGUCCUUAAUUUCUUUCCUACAGCAGUACUGCUAUAUGCCAGUCCUGUCUGCAUUCUUAAGGGUGCAGUUCAACACAUCCUCUCUAGAUUAUGGUGAAAAAGUAUUCCAAAGGAAGUCUUAUCAGAGCUAGUGUCAGAAAGAAUGACACUACCAAUUGGGCAUGAUCUUCAGCAUAGGAAAUGUCUUAGAAUUUUAUUAUUUUAUUUUUCUUAAAUUGUGAUGCUAUACUACUGUAUAGCUAAUUAUCACAUUUUAUAAAACAUAGUGUUCCUCUGUGAAUCUUGUUAUAUACUGUUUGGGCUUCUUUAAGAUAUUUUGAAGUUUGAAAAGCAAAUACUGAAACUUGAACCAAGAGACUAACACAUCUCUUUGUAUGCCACUUCUCUUCUAUGUGCAUCAUAAUAACUGGUAGAAAGUAAUAUAUUCAAGUAAUAUAUUUUCAUUUGUAAUCAUACUUUCUAAAGAUAAAAAUGUUUCUGGGUCAACAAAACUUUAACAAGCAUGAAGCCCUUUUUUAGUAACCUGACAUGAGAAUAAGAUUAUAGGUAUAUUUUUAAAAAUCAGAUUUGCUAAACUAUAACUGUUUUAGAACAUUGUAUGAAGAACUUACCUAGUUAUAGUUAUUUGUAGUUAGGAUUUUAACAGCUUGCAACAGGUAAUGUUUUGAAUAUAAAUAUCUUUCCAAAGUGUUACUAAUGGUAAAGAGAUAAUUUUCUAGGCUUCUAUUCUGCUGCUUGAAGUCAGAACUGCUGAUGGAGACAAAGGCACGAAAGUGUACGUAUUCCGGAUUAGCAACCCAGGAACCCAUCACUUCUGAAGACUAAACUGUGCUGUCAUUUUGCUUUUAUAUGCAUUAAAAUAUUUGUUUUAAACUGCUGUAGAUGUUUGUGUUCAAACAGGUUAAAUUGAUCAGCAAACUCAAUAAAAAGUAAGAUGUAUAAUUAUUAAAGUUUUCCAUCAAAAAAUAAAUUAAAUGAUAUGGAAUAACAUAAUAUUAGAGCAGGGAAGAUAAAUCAGUUGAACCUAAUUAUCGUUUAUUUAUUGUACUCUUGUCCUGUUGCUGUUCUUUUCUGCAGGAGGGAAGACCCCUGAUCCUAAAAUGCAUGCUAGAACGUAUAUGGAUGUAAUGCGCGAGCAGCAUUUGACUAAAGAAGAGAGAGAAAUUAGGCAACAACUAGCAGAAAAAGCUAAAGCUGGAGAACUGAAAGUCGUCAAUGGAGCAGCAGCGUCCCAGCCUCCCUCAAAACGAAAACGCCGUUGGGAUCAAACAGCUGAUCAGACUCCUGGUGCCACUCCCAAGAAGCUGUCAAGUUGGGAUCAAGCAGAGGUGGUUACAUUGUAUUUUUUAAGACUAUUAUAAUUUUUUUUUCUCACA